GCAAAAUGGAGUCUCUGUCCCAGCUUCUCUGUGGGCUCCUGAUGCUUUGGGUCCCAGUUUCCAGGGGAGAAAUUGUGCUGACCCAGUCUCCAGCCUCGGUGUCUGUGAGCCCAGGAGAGAGAGUCACCAUCAGCUGCAAGGCCAGUCAGAGUGUUGUACACAGUGAUAGAAACACUUACCUAAGCUGGCUCCAACAGAAACCCGGACAGUCUCCUAGGAUGCUCAUUUACCAGGUUUCCAACCUGGUCUCAGGAGUCCCCGCCCGCUUCAGUGGCAGUGGUGCUGAGAAGGAUUUCACCCUCACAAUCAGCAGUGUGGAGGCUGAAGAUGGGGCAGAAUAUUACUGUGCUCAAGGAAUUUAUUCUCCUCCCACAGUGUUACAGCCCUGAACAAAAACCUCCCCAGGCCUGGGCUGGCUGCUCAGGGAGGCCCAGCUGCCUCCCUCCUUCCUCUGCUGCAGCAGCUGCUGGAGGCCUACCCAGGGGCAGGGUCUCUGGGGCUGAUGAGACAAAAGGGACUCGGGGCUCAGGGGAAAGGUCACGGUCUGAGAGCUCGGGGCUCUGGGGACUCUUGCUCCUCUUCAGCCAUGAGCAGAAUCAUCAAAGAGAGAACCACUGGCUCAGACUGGGUCACCCCACAAUGCCCUGGGCCUGAGGCACUCUCCUAUUCCUAUGUUAUCUGACUCCCCUCAGCACAAGAAACAAAGAGAAAAUAGCAACUUCUGGCCAGAAAUUCUUUCUGUCCUUUCUCCCUGGCUCAAUAUUCCACAGCAGUCAAUGACUCUUGGGACCAAGAGCACUAGAAGAUCAGGCAACAGGCUAAUGGAAUCCAUCCAAGGGCCCAGCUUAAAAUUCACACUCUGGAUUCAUUUUCUCUGACCAUACAUUUAAAUCAGAUUGUUAUCUACUUUUAUUUUAUUCAUUCAUGCUGGGGGCUAUAAAGAGCUCUCUGAAGUCUCCUCUGUCCACUCUUUUCAAAGGAAGACUUCAAUUCCUACAAAGGGGAAUAAGAGACGGGCGCCAAGAAGCUGAAUAUUCUGUUCUCCUCAUAGUUUUGGAGUCUGCUCAGAAUCAUAAUGACCUCCCCCAUCUUAAUAAUAUUAACCUAAUAAAACUAAUCUUUUAUGAUUCAAUUGAUGGAAACUGUGAUCUUUGGGGGAAGAGUGAACCUGGGUUAGAAUCCCACCUCCUCCUGCCUAUUGGGAGGGGCCCCACUGUCCUUUUUAGAGGGGAAACUCCCAUACCAUCUUUAUCCACAAUUCAAUUGUAGAUCUUGGCCUGGGGCAUAAUCACCACCCUUUAUUGAGUUGAAAAUUAGUUCCUCAAAUUCAUCUAGAGUUUGGCCCCCUUGGCUUUGGGCCCUUUGCAAAGCAAUCUCCUGUCUCUUCUCUGGCUCAGACUGUGGCCAGAGCUCUUGCUUUCCUCUCUGCUCUGAAACAGCCCUUUCUGUGUUCUCUGCCUCAGCGUUUCGCUGGAGCUCUUGCACUUCUUGUUCUAAUUGCUGUAAUCCCGCCUUUGCUCUGUCCCCUGCUUCUGCUCUAAGCCAAAAUUCCUGCUUCUUUGUUCCAUCUGUUGAAUCCCCUCCCCCUCUCUUGCUGAGCUGUACUUAAGGGGUGUGGGGGUACUUUCCUUCAUUGCCUUCAUCACCUGGGGGCACAUGUAAGCCUUCUAAGGAGGGAUGUGUGCCCUUUGGCACUGGGGGCUCUCCUGCUGCUUUUCCUUUUCUUUGGGUGUGUUUUUGGUUAAAGAAUCACCGGUUCUAGUUUCUAACUCAGAAGCUUGCUCUGUAUUUACAACUCUCCUCUCGGGCCUGGUCACAGUUUGACCCACAGUGCAUCUCUACCUUCCCUUCCGGACCAGAAACUCUUGUGGCUUCUCGA
Non-coding RNA from Antechinus flavipes (yellow-footed antechinus), 1879 nucleotides. Lineage: Eukaryota; Metazoa; Chordata; Mammalia; Dasyuromorphia; Dasyuridae. The record is from the annotation of a RefSeq genome assembly.